AAUCUCUCUCUCUCUCUCUGUACUAAUACAGAGGAAAGCCGUGUGAGGACAGAGCCAGAAGACAGCCACCUGCUGGGAGGAGAGUCUCACCAGAAACUGAAUCUUCCAGCACCUUGAUGCAGGACCUCUAGCUUCUAAAACUAUAGCUCAAGGGAUUUCUGGAGUUGGAGUAAAAGAAGACAUGCUCAAAUCCAUCAUCCCUGAUAAAGAUGUCCAACAUUACAGUAAAGAAAAGAGAUUCUGACAAAGUCCCAGUAACAGCCCUAACUUAGGGGAUUCUCAGACCUGCCUUUUGGGAUACUUGCAGAUAAAAGGGCACCAGCCAUUCUGAUGCAAAGAACAAACAAGGAAGUGUUGGGGGACUAAAGCAGUAAGGUGACCCUUGACAAAUGGGGGAGGAGAACUGGCAGGUGAUCUCACUUGACAGUUCCAGUAGAAUGUUCCGCAGACAUCUCCGACUUCGCAGGCACGCGCCAGGAAUCUACCCGCUUACCAAGCAGAGUCAGCAAGACAGAAACAACAGCUUCAAGGAAUAAAAAUAUCUUCAUUCCUCUACCUUAGCAAGUGUUUUAUAAUUGCAGUGAGCACCGAGAAUCUUGGGGGGCCACUACACCCAAAUGUCUUGGUAAUAAAUAUAGGUCUGUGCCUGUGUCUGUAGUAUACCAGGGACCCAGGAGACAAAUAAGGUUGAAUUCCUCACGUGAGUGUGUUUUACGAGUGUUUUUCUGAGGAUCAUAGUAGAGGCAUUUAUGGCCACAGAAAAAGAGACUUUUCAGGAGUCAUUUCAUGGGGUGAGAGACACCAAAGUGGUUAUAAAAAGUAAGGCACCUCUGCACAGUACACCUUUUGGAAAGCAAGGCUGCUGAGGACUUGGCAUCACUGCCCCUC
Molecule: long non-coding RNA, 888 nt
Organism: Lutra lutra (Eurasian river otter)
Lineage: Eukaryota; Metazoa; Chordata; Mammalia; Carnivora; Mustelidae
Exons: 5
Source: RefSeq, a predicted model, not a curated record